RNAcentral lists this ribosomal RNA (497 nucleotides) under uncultured bacterium. RNAcentral's name for it is "partial 16S ribosomal RNA". It matches the Rfam family "Bacterial small subunit ribosomal RNA", at positions 28 to 507 of the family's 1533-position model. The record is from RNAcentral.
GACGAACGCUGGCGGCGUGCCUAAUACAUGCAAGUAGAACGCUGAAGAGAGGAGCUUGCUCUUCUUGGAUGAGUUGCGAACGGGUGAGUAACGCGUAGGUAACCUGCCUUGUAGCGGGGGAUAACUAUUGGAAACGAUAGCUAAUACCGCAUAACAAUGGAUGACACAUGUCAUUUAUUUGAAAGGGGCAAUUGCUCCACUACAAGAUGGACCUGCGUUGUAUUAGCUAGUAGGUGAGGUAAUGGCUCACCUUGGCGACGAUACAUAGCCGACCUGAGAGGGUGAUCGGCCACACUGGGACUGAGACACGGCCCAGACUCCUACGGGAGGCAGCAGUAGGGAAUCUUCGGCAAUGGGGGCAACCCUGACCGAGCAACGCCGCGUGAGUGAAGAAGGUUUUCGGAUCGUAAAGCCCUGUUGUAAGUCAAGAACGGGUGUGAGAGUGGAAAGUUCACACUGUGACGGUAGCUUACCAGAAAGGGACGGCUAACUACGUG